AGUGAACGCUGGCGGUAGGCCUAACACAUGCAAGUCGAACGGCAGCACAGGAGAGCUCGCUCUCUGGGUGGCGAGUGGCGGACGGGUGAGGAAUACAUCCGAAUCUGCCCAGUCGUGGGGGAUAACGUAGGGAAACUUACGCUAAUACCGCAUACGACCUUCGGGUGAAAGAGGGGGAUCGCAAGACCUCUCGCGAUUGGAUGAGCCGAUGUCGGAUUAGCUAGUUGGCGGGGUAAUGGCCCACCAAGGCGACGAUCCGUAGCUGGUCUGAGAGGAUGAUCAGCCACACUGGAACUGAGACACGGUCCAGACUCCUACGGGAGGCAGCAGUGGGGAAUAUUGGACAAUGGGCGCAAGCCUGAUCCAGCCAUACCGCGUGGGUGAAGAAGGCCUUCGGGUUGUAAAGCCCUUUUGUUGGGAAAGAAAUCUUUCAGGCUAAUACCCUGGGAGGAUGACGGUACCCAAAGAAUAAGCACCGGCUAACUUCGUG
Molecule: ribosomal RNA, 490 nt
Filed under: uncultured bacterium
Lineage: Bacteria
Description: partial 16S ribosomal RNA
Rfam family: Bacterial small subunit ribosomal RNA
Source: RNAcentral